This 677-nucleotide long non-coding RNA is filed under the name Elaeis guineensis (African oil palm). RNAcentral's name for it is "long non-coding RNA (EGUI_LNC061910)". Lineage: Eukaryota; Viridiplantae; Streptophyta; Magnoliopsida; Arecales; Arecaceae. The record is from RNAcentral.
CAAUUCAUUGCUCAUAGAGGCCAGUGUGAUACAUUUGACAGUCAAAUUAUCAUUCUUCCACAUCCUAUAUGUGGAUACCUCUUCCUUAGUGGCAUCAUCUCCAAACUCUUGUGCUUCAGGGACAUCAAGAAGGUAAGAGAGCUUCUCCUGAGUGAGUAUAAUUUUUAAAUUCCUCAAUCAGUCUAUAUAAUUAGGACUGAUCAAUUUGUUGGAAUCUAAAAUUUCUCACAAUGAUAAUGAAGAUGCCAUUUGUAGAGUUUAAUCUAUAUUAAAUAAAGAACAUAACAUAAGCAAAUAACUCAUGAUGACACACAUAAUUAAACAAGAUUUUUUAUUUAAUUGUACCUUCCAAUAUUUUAUCGAACAUCAUAACCCUCUACUAUGAUGAACAAGACAUAUUGAAUAUUCAUCUUAGUGAGAUUGAGAUCCCAAUUUCUCAUAAUGAUCUUGUGGUGACAUAAUAAACCUUUAUGAGUUCAUAAGUAGAAAACUCUUUUCAAUUGCAUCUCAUGUAAUUCUCAAUUUUAUCUUAGCCUCUAAAACAUUAAUAGUCUUGUGGUAAUACAACAAGCUUUAAUAUUUUAGUUAAGUAAGACUCUUUAUUUCAAUACAGUCAAAUUCGAAUAUUACCAUCCUUAUAGUAAUACAACAAAGUAGUAUACCCAAAAUUACUGUAA